This 253-nucleotide ribosomal RNA is filed under the name uncultured bacterium. Its description in RNAcentral is "partial 16S ribosomal RNA". It matches the Rfam family "Bacterial small subunit ribosomal RNA", at positions 524 to 776 of the family's 1533-position model. The record is from RNAcentral.
UACAGAGGGUGCGAGCGUUAAUCGGAAUUAUUGGGCGUAAAGGGAGCGUAGGCGGAUGUGCAAGUGAUAGGUGAAAUACCCGGGCUCAACCUGGGGAGGUCCUAUCAGACUGCACGUCUAGAAUGUGGCAGAGGAAGGUGGAAUUUCUGGUGUAGCGGUGAAAUGCGUAGAUAUCAGAAAGAACAUCAAUGGCGAAGGCAGCCUUCUGGGCCAUUAUUGACGCUGAGGCUCGAAAGCGUGGGGAGCGAACAGG